AUUGAACGCUGGCGGCAGGCCUAACACAUGCAAGUCGAGCGGGGUUUUCGGACCUAGCGGCGGACGGGUGAGUAAUGCGUAGGAAGCUACCCGAUAGAGGGGGAUACCAGUUGGAAACGACUGUUAAUACCGCAUAAUGUCUACGGACCAAAGUGUGGGACCUUCGGGCCACAUGCUAUCGGAUGCGCCUACGUGGGAUUAGCUAGUUGGUGGGGUAAUGGCUCACCAAGGCGACGAUCCCUAGCUGGUUUGAGAGGAUGAUCAGCCACACUAGAACUGAGACACGGUCCAGACUCCUACGGGAGGCAGCAGUGGGGAAUAUUGGGCAAUGGGCGCAAGCCUGAUCCAGCCAUGCCGCGUGUGUGAAGAAGGCCUUCGGGUUGUAAAGCACUUUCAGUAGGGAGGAAGGGUGUUGUGUUAAUAGCACAGCAUUUUGACGUUACCUACAGAAGAAGCACCGGCUAACUCUGUGCCAGCAGCCGCCGUAA
This 488-nucleotide ribosomal RNA is filed under the name uncultured bacterium. RNAcentral's name for it is "partial 16S ribosomal RNA". It matches the Rfam family "Bacterial small subunit ribosomal RNA", at positions 30 to 523 of the family's 1533-position model. The record is from RNAcentral.